RNAcentral lists this ribosomal RNA (329 nucleotides) under uncultured eukaryote. RNAcentral describes it as "partial 18S ribosomal RNA". It matches the Rfam family "Eukaryotic small subunit ribosomal RNA", at positions 1470 to 1796 of the family's 1831-position model. The record is from RNAcentral.
CCCUUAGAUGUUCUGGGCCGCACGCGAGCUACACUGAUGCAUUCAACGAGUCUAAAACCUGCUCUGAUAGGGGUGGGUAAUCUUUUGAAUGUGCAUCGUGAUUGGGAUAGAUGAUUGCAAUUUUUCAUCUUCAACGAGGAAUGCCUAGUAAACGCAAGUCAUCAGCUUGCAUUGAUUACGUCCCUGCCCUUUGUACACACCGCCCGUCGCUCCUACCGAUUGAAUGAUCCGAUGAAUAUCAUGGAUUGAGGAUUAUAGCAGGUUCGCCUGUCUUGAUCUUCGAGAAGUGAAGUAAAUCUUAUCAUUUAGAGGAAGGAGAAGUCGUAACA